This 1098-nucleotide ribosomal RNA is filed under the name Bacillus safensis. Its description in RNAcentral is "bacterial SSU rRNA". It matches the Rfam family "Bacterial small subunit ribosomal RNA", at positions 54 to 1136 of the family's 1533-position model. The record is from RNAcentral. Lineage: Bacteria; Bacillati; Bacillota; Bacilli; Caryophanales; Bacillaceae.
CGUAACACGUCAGAGCGGACAGAAGGGAGCUUGCUCCCGGAUGUUAGCGGCGGACGGGUGAGUAACACGUGGGUAACCUGCCUGUAAGACUGGGAUAACUCCGGGAAACCGGAGCUAAUACCGGAUAGUUCCUUGAACCGCAUGGUUCAAGGAUGAAAGACGGUUUCGGCUGUCACUUACAGAUGGACCCGCGGCGCAUUAGCUAGUUGGUGGGGUAAUGGCUCACCAAGGCGACGAUGCGUAGCCGACCUGAGAGGGUGAUCGGCCACACUGGGACUGAGACACGGCCCAGACUCCUACGGGAGGCAGCAGUAGGGAAUCUUCCGCAAUGGACGAAAGUCUGACGGAGCAACGCCGCGUGAGUGAUGAAGGUUUUCGGAUCGUAAAGCUCUGUUGUUAGGGAAGAACAAGUGCGAGAGUAACUGCUCGCACCUUGACGGUACCUAACCAGAAAGCCACGGCUAACUACGUGCCAGCAGCCGCGGUAAUACGUAGGUGGCAAGCGUUGUCCGGAAUUAUUGGGCGUAAAGGGCUCGCAGGCGGUUUCUUAAGUCUGAUGUGAAAGCCCCCGGCUCAACCGGGGAGGGUCAUUGGAAACUGGGAAACUUGAGUGCAGAAGAGGAGAGUGGAAUUCCACGUGUAGCGGUGAAAUGCGUAGAGAUGUGGAGGAACACCAGUGGCGAAGGCGACUCUCUGGUCUGUAACUGACGCUGAGGAGCGAAAGCGUGGGGAGCGAACAGGAUUAGAUACCCUGGUAGUCCACGCCGUAAACGAUGAGUGCUAAGUGUUAGGGGGUUUCCGCCCCUUAGUGCUGCAGCUAACGCAUUAAGCACUCCGCCUGGGGAGUACGGUCGCAAGACUGAAACUCAAAGGAAUUGACGGGGGCCCGCACAAGCGGUGGAGCAUGUGGUUUAAUUCGAAGCAACGCGAAGAACCUUACCAGGUCUUGACAUCCUCUGACAACCCUAGAGAUAGGGCUUUCCCUUCGGGGACAGAGUGACAGGUGGUGCAUGGUUGUCGUCAGCUCGUGUCGUGAGAUGUUGGGUUAAGUCCCGCAACGAGCGCACCCUUGAUCUUAGUUGCCAGCAUUCAUUGGGC